CAGCCGCCACGGUAAUACGGAGGGUGCAAGCGUUAUCCGGAUUUAUUGGGUUUAAAGGGUCCGUAGGCGGAUCUGUAAGUCAGUGGUGAAAUCUCACAGCUUAACUGUGAAACUGCCAUUGAUACUGCAGGUCUUGAGUAAAUUUGAAGUGGCUGGAAUAAGUAGUGUAGCGGUGAAAUGCAUAGAUAUUACUUAGAACACCAAUUGCGAAGGCAGGUCACUAAGAUUUAACUGACGCUGAUGGACGAAAGCGUGGGGAGCGAACAGGAUUAGAUACCCCUGUAGUCCCUGUCUCUUAUAA
This 301-nucleotide ribosomal RNA is filed under the name uncultured bacterium. Its description in RNAcentral is "partial 16S ribosomal RNA". It matches the Rfam family "Bacterial small subunit ribosomal RNA", at positions 509 to 809 of the family's 1533-position model. The record is from RNAcentral.